Molecule: ribosomal RNA, 253 nt
Filed under: uncultured bacterium
Lineage: Bacteria
Description: partial 16S ribosomal RNA
Rfam family: Bacterial small subunit ribosomal RNA
Source: RNAcentral
CACGUAGGCACCAAGCGUUGUCCGGAAUCAUUGGGCGUAAAGCGCGUGUAGGCGGCCCGGUAAGUCCGCUGUGAAAGUCGGGGGCUCAACCCUCGAAUGCCGGUGGAUACUGUCGGGCUAGAGUGCGGAAGAGGCGAGUGGAAUUCCUGGUGUAGCGGUGAAAUGCGCAGAUAUCAGGAGGAACACCAAUUGCGAAGGCAGCUCGCUGGGACGUGACUGACGCUGAGACGCGAAAGCGUGGGGAGCAAACAGG